This 112-nucleotide ribosomal RNA is filed under the name Microcebus murinus (gray mouse lemur). Lineage: Eukaryota; Metazoa; Chordata; Mammalia; Primates; Cheirogaleidae. The record is from RNAcentral.
GUCUAUGGCCAUACCAGCCUGAACACUCCUGAUCUCAUCUCAUCUCAUCUUAGAAGCUAAGUAGGGUCGGGCCUGGUUUGUACUUGGAUGGGAGAUAGUAAGUGAGUAGACC